AUUGAACGCUGGCGGCAGGCCUAACACAUGCAAGUCGAGCGGAUGAAGGGAGCUUGCUCCUGGAUUCAGCGGCGGACGGGUGAGUAAUGCCUAGGAAUCUGCCUGGUAGUGGGGGAUAACGUCCGGAAACGGGCGCUAAUACCGCAUACGUCCUGAGGGAGAAAGUGGGGGAUCUUCGGACCUCACGCUAUCAGAUGAGCCUAGGUCGAAUUAGCUAGUUGGUGGGGUAAAGGCCUACCAAGGCGACGAUCCGUAACUGGUCUGAGAGGAUGAUCAGUCACACUGGAACUGAGACACGGUCCAGACUCCUACGGGAGGCAGCAGUGGGGAAUAUUGGACGAUGGGCGAAAGCCUGAUCCAGCCAUGCCGCGUGUGUGAAGAAGGUCUUCGGAUUGUAAAGCACUUUAAGUUGGGAGGAAGGGCAGUAAGUUAAUACCUUGCUGUUUUGACGUUACCAACAGAAUAAGCACCGGCUAACUUCGUG
RNAcentral lists this ribosomal RNA (484 nucleotides) under uncultured bacterium. RNAcentral's name for it is "partial 16S ribosomal RNA". It matches the Rfam family "Bacterial small subunit ribosomal RNA", at positions 30 to 507 of the family's 1533-position model. The record is from RNAcentral.